UCGCCAUUGGCUCAAGAAUGGUUUUCAGCUUCUGGCUCCGAUGCCGGACAUUCUUUUGUCGUAUUGUGAGGAUUGUGAUCGAGAUGCUGCUGCCGCCUCAAAGGAGAAGAAUCCAACA
Molecule: small RNA, 118 nt
Filed under: Arabidopsis thaliana (thale cress)
Lineage: Eukaryota; Viridiplantae; Streptophyta; Magnoliopsida; Brassicales; Brassicaceae
Description: ATSL135410
Source: RNAcentral